Lolium rigidum is the source of this 1983-nucleotide RNA transcript. RefSeq lists it as uncharacterized. Lineage: Eukaryota; Viridiplantae; Streptophyta; Magnoliopsida; Poales; Poaceae. The transcript is spliced from 6 exons. The record is from RefSeq and is a predicted model, not a curated record.
GGGUUACUCACGGAAACUCCGACGCAUGCGUCUUCCUCUGAUCGUGGUUCGCGUUAGUUCUUCGUCCGUCCACGAUCGAUCUCUGCUCGCCGUCACGGUAGUCUAUGCCUACGCGCGCUUCUGCUGGCCGGCGGCGCGGUCGGCCUCCCUCUUCUUCUCAUUCUCCGUCUCCGGCUCCGCGCGCGCCGCCAUCGUGGCCUUCAUGCUUUGCCUCCGCGUCCGCCUCGCGGUGGUCUUGCUUCCGACGGUGGUCGUCUGCGCCGUGGGAGGCCUCCAGGUCGUGCUCGUGGCCGUUCUCGCGGCCGCGCGCACUCCAUCUUGCCUGCAGAUUUUGAUCUGGUGCCCGUGCCUGCGGCGCCCUUGCGUCCACUCUCUGCUGUUUCUCUUGCAGCCCAGACUGCCGUUGGAUCUUCUUCAUCGUUGAUGCCUGACAGCAAUGUUUUGCCUUUGCCUGGUUUAUUAGAGGCAGAAACUCUGAGAAGACGUGAAAUUUGGCUGGGCAAACGGCCGGUUAUCGAUUCAGGCUCUGGUACUGAUGCCUUUUGUUCACUGUUGUUUCUUUGCAGAAUUCUUUACCCCUAUCUUCUCAGGUUUCUUCUGCUGCUUACCUAGGGGAUUCCGCUGGCCGUUCUGGAGAGCAUGGCAGGGAUGGGUUACUGCUGUUGGCGGCCCUUCUAUCCAGCCUCUUUUCCCUGGGGCGUUUGAUGCUGUCGUCGACUCUGCUAUCGCCCCUUCGUUAACCGAUGACGAUUUUACUGCUUCUCUACCUGAUUUAUUCCCUGUGGACAACGGCUCACAUUUGCCAUCCUUGCGAGACCAGAGUUCAUGGACACCUUUGCCUGUGGCUUCUUUGCGAGCUGUUGACGCGCCUGGUCCGUCUUCGGCUGAUGUUUACCCUUCUGAUUCUUCCCUUGCUGACGCCCUUGCUGCUGAUGAUGUGCGGAGUCCUGCGAUUCGUUUUGCUCAUAUCACUCGGCGGCCAGAUCAGAUGUGCCAGCUGCGGGAAUUGAUCGAUGGUGGCGUGGUUCGUCCACCUUGCUUUCUUUCCACACUUCUCGUGCUUUUUUUCUCCUGUUUUUGCCUCACUAUGUUUUCAUCUGUGUUUCAGUUUCCGCUACUCCUUCCACUUCUUCCGAAAGAGCAGCUGGCAAUCGUCGUCAUCGUCUGGCUAUGCAAGAGCAUACGGCUCUUCUACGGGCCCAUCGACUUUCGAGCCGUUCUCAUGGAGGCAUCCUGCGGAGGUCAGCUUCGAAUAGUCGUCGCCAGGGUCGUCGUCCGCAUUCUGACAUAUGCCGGCAAACUGCUCUUCUUCAGGCAGGUGUUGCUGCUGAUAUUCAGUUGCCUCUUCCUACAAGCUUGGUGAGGUUUCUCAAAGCUGCUUGGCCUGGCAGGUCCUACUACGGUGUCCCUCAUCUUAUUUGCAAGUACUGUGGUGCUUCAUACUGGUAUCAGGAGCGUAAUAAGCGUCUCAGUACGAAAUACCACCGUGUGUAUACUGGUUGUUGUCGUGGUGGCCGGGUGUCUCUUCCGAUUUAUCCGAUUUAUAUGUUGUCGAGUUCCAGAAAAGAGGCUUACCCCACAUACAUACCCUUGUGUGGCUGGAUGCCGACAUGGACGACCCCACGCCUUCUACCAUAGAUUCUUUUAUUUCGGCAGAGAUACCAGAUUAUGCUACCGAUCCAUUGGGGUAUGCACUUGUGGAGGAGUUUAUGGUGCAUGGUCCAUGUGGUGAACACAACCCUCAUUCUCCAUGUAUGAAGGACGGUGUUUGCUCUAAGCGAUAUCCCAAAGAAUUUAAUGAAGAGACUACAAUUGAUGGUCUCGGUUUUCCGGUGUACCGGCGAAGUGAGAACGACAUGUAUAUUCUGAAGAAUGGUGUUCGUGUCGACAAUCGGUGGAUAGUUCCUUACAAUAUGUCCUUGCUAAAAAAAUUCCAAGCUCACAUUAAUGUGGAGUGGUGUAAUAAGACCAACCUUCUUAAAU